Molecule: ribosomal RNA, 404 nt
Filed under: uncultured Rhodoplanes sp.
Lineage: Bacteria; Pseudomonadati; Pseudomonadota; Alphaproteobacteria; Hyphomicrobiales; Nitrobacteraceae
Also listed under: 1 other name
Description: bacterial SSU rRNA
Rfam family: Bacterial small subunit ribosomal RNA
Source: RNAcentral
UGGGGAAUAUUGGACAAUGGGCGCAAGCCUGAUCCAGCCAUGCCGCGUGAGUGAUGAAGGCCUUAGGGUUGUAAAGCUCUUUCGUCAGGGAAGAUAAUGACGGUACCUGAAGAAGAAGCCCCGGCUAACUUCGUGCCAGCAGCCGCGGUAAUACGAAGGGGGCUAGCGUUGCUCGGAAUCACUGGGCGUAAAGCGCACGUAGGCGGCUUUCUAAGUCAGGGGUGAAAUCCUGGAGCUCAACUCCAGAACUGCCUUUGAUACUGGAGAGCUUGAGUUCGGGAGAGGUGAGUGGAACUGCGAGUGUAGAGGUGAAAUUCGUAGAUAUUCGCAAGAACACCAGUGGCGAAGGCGGCUCACUGGCCCGAUACUGACGCUGAGGUGCGAAAGCGUGGGGAGCAAACAGG